This is a long non-coding RNA of Glycine soja, 763 nucleotides long. RefSeq lists it as uncharacterized. The transcript is spliced from 2 exons. Lineage: Eukaryota; Viridiplantae; Streptophyta; Magnoliopsida; Fabales; Fabaceae. The record is from RefSeq and is a predicted model, not a curated record.
UCUCACGAAGAUAAAUUUAUCGUUCUCAACUCAAAUAAACCCUUUGCAUUAAAUGUUUACUACCUUUCAGCAUUAAGUUGAAACCUCCAAAAAGAAAAUCUGCAUAUAAACCCCCCCACAAAACAAUACACAGAGAGAGUACCACCACUUAACCACAAUAGCAACUGCGUGACGCGUUGCACGUGAUAAAGGGUAUUGGCUUAGCUGUGUGGCAUGAUCAAUACAUUACUAUGAGUAUUUAUUUUGAGUUGAAAUAGAGGCUCCAUUGAAACAAAGCCAUGUGCAUGGAGACCACUAAAAAUGUCCCCCACAAUUCCCAUUGUGUCUUUAAAUUAUUAUUAUAUGGUGAGCAUAGUUCGCUACGUACACAUGAUCGAUCAAGCGACAUCAGCAAUUGGAUCGGAGCUCCUUAUUAUUAUUAUCUUUGGCUGAAUCCUCUUGUCAGCAUGUCUCCAACAAUUUUCAGACUUCCAAUUGUACCAAUACCAAUAGGAAAGGUUCACAUCAGAUAUUUUGAGGUUGGCAAGUGAAAAUGGAUUCACGGCAGUAAGAAAUUACAUGGAUUCACGCGUUCGUAACAGUUGAAUGAAGAUGGGAUGACUAGGAUCUUAAAUAUGUAUUUUAAAUUUUAUUUACUGUGAUAAAAUAUGAAACUGUACCUUUGAUCAACGGUUCUGAAUUAAUAAUUGUGUGAAUGCGUCGUGUAAAUGUUGAUUGCAACUUGCAAGCAAUAUAGAUUUAUGAAUUUUGAUUCUUGCUUUUA